This 446-nucleotide long non-coding RNA is filed under the name Anser brachyrhynchus (Pink-footed goose). RNAcentral's name for it is "lncRNA (ENSABRG00000007136.1)". The record is from RNAcentral. Lineage: Eukaryota; Metazoa; Chordata; Aves; Anseriformes; Anatidae.
GUGCCUUUUUCUCACCAUAUUAAAACAAAACCUACAGGAACACAGAGGAUCAAGAUGAGCUGAUUGCUUCCCUGCACCAUCUCCUGUUCAGACAUCUUCCUCCCAGCCAGAACCUAUGGAGGUCUUACAGAAAAUCUGCUAUGAGAGCAGCAUGAAGAUAUUCCUGCUGGUAUUCCACAGAUUCUAAUGAUCCUCAUCAGAGCUUAUUAACCACUUAACUGUAAUCCUGUUGGAAUGUCUCUGCCUCCAGAGCUACUCUUCUUACCAGCUAGGAGAUCUGAGACAAAUCACUCAUUUAUUCACGGGCUUUAGGUAUCCAGUGAUAGGAACGGCAGUGAGAAAGCUGCAGGGAGCUGUGACACUUCUGGGGCAUGCCCAAGCCAGCAAGGGAAGCUGGAGGCAUGGGGUGUUUUUUUGACCCUUGCUCCCACCAUCAAAUACUCCCU